Molecule: long non-coding RNA, 152 nt
Organism: Astyanax mexicanus (Mexican tetra)
Lineage: Eukaryota; Metazoa; Chordata; Actinopteri; Characiformes; Acestrorhamphidae
Exons: 2
Source: RefSeq, a predicted model, not a curated record
AGCCGGCACUGCCACGGAGUUUCUGUACAAAUGGAUGAACGUGGGCCGGGGAAGGUGAACUCUGGUCAGACCGGCUGGAGGCAGCGUUAGCUCCCUUUAUGAAUAUAUUUUUUUUUUCUUUGAAUGUAAUAAAGUUUUCUCUCUUAACAUUA